GAGCCAACAUUCCACAACCAUCAUUCCUCAAGGUGACAGCCAACCCAAGCCUGCGGCAACAUUCUUAAAGGCUCCACUGCUCUCCAGCCUAUGUAGAUGGCGGCCACAAAAGUGGAGGCCCACCUUGGACUCCUAAUUUGACCACCCUGUCUCUAAUUUACUGUUCAAAUAUUAAGAGUUACCAUCCUUUGAGUCCCGGCUCUGAGCCAGCCCUGUCUGUUCCCAGAGCUGAGUCCUGGAAACUGCAUAAAGGAGCUAUGUCACUGAAGCUCAGACCGGGCUCCCACCCUAAGUCCAGGCAACAGCUGUGAAGCAGCUGCACCACCGUGUCCUAAAGCUGCUUAGGAAAGAACCUGCCAUUCUGCCGCAAGAAGGGCAGUAGCUGACAGCCUCCACCUGCAGCCCCUUCGGGAGCUACCUUAGCAUAUGAGCUGAAGCCACGCUCUUCCUGAACAGUCCUCUGCCAGCAAGUGAGCACCAAGGGUGCUAGGCCUGGCCAUUUCCAACCAACAUGGGGCUCUUCUAAUGGACAACACGUGCUCC
Molecule: long non-coding RNA, 543 nt
Filed under: Equus caballus (horse)
Lineage: Eukaryota; Metazoa; Chordata; Mammalia; Perissodactyla; Equidae
Description: lncRNA (ENSECAG00000055024.1)
Source: RNAcentral